GUGUUUGCUUUGGCAACCCAUAUACUAACAUUGGAACGAUACAGAGAAUAUUAGCAUGGCUCCAGAGCAAAGGUUCCAUAUUUUUCAGAAAGACUCAAAAAUAUUAA
Molecule: small nuclear RNA, 107 nt
Filed under: Aotus nancymaae (Ma's night monkey)
Lineage: Eukaryota; Metazoa; Chordata; Mammalia; Primates; Aotidae
Source: RNAcentral